Bombus huntii is the source of this 617-nucleotide long non-coding RNA. RefSeq lists it as uncharacterized. The transcript is spliced from 2 exons. NCBI's taxonomy places the organism in Eukaryota, Metazoa, Arthropoda, Insecta, Hymenoptera, Apidae. The record is from RefSeq and is a predicted model, not a curated record.
CUUGCAUCCUGCAGUCAGAAGAGGGCGCGGCGCACGUAAGCAUCUGUUUCAUAAGCCAACUACUAUAUCCGUCCUGGGCCGUCCGCUCAUUGCUCAUUCCUGCGGCUGGACCGUCAGUCGUCACAUCGUGUCAUAGCGUACACAUCUGCAGAAAGAAUACAAUAUCUAUAUACCAAAGCAAAACGAGACUGUCAUAUGUUAAGAAUGCGUUUGAAAGCAUUACCAGAAAGACAUUUACAGGAAAAAGAGGAGAUAAAAAGGUUACAAAUUUAUUUACAAUGUUAUUACAAAAAUUUCGAAGGUUAUAUUAAUGAAAUGUCUGAAGACUAUUAAAAAAAAAAAGUAAAUUGCUUACGUUUUUAAUGGAUGUAGAAGAAAAAGAAAUGAAGAAUCUGAAAAAUUACUUUUAGAAAAAUUACUAUUAGAAAAAUAAAAACUAUUAAACAAGAUGUAUUAGAUAAUAUUAUAUUAAUUUAAUUUCUGAAGAUUGUUAUGACAUAAUUUUGACAGAUACGUGAUAGAUAAAAAGAAUAAUUCUAAAGGAGUUUCGUGUUUUCUAUACAAUAUAUGAUAUAGAUAUAUGUUUAAUAUAUAAAUAAAAAUUGAUAUGUCAUAAA